Molecule: ribosomal RNA, 469 nt
Filed under: uncultured bacterium
Lineage: Bacteria
Description: SSU rRNA
Rfam family: Bacterial small subunit ribosomal RNA
Source: RNAcentral
AGGACGAACGCUGGCGGCGUGCUUAACACAUGCAAGUCGAGCGGAAAGGCCCUUCGGGGUACUCGAGCGGCGAACGGGUGAGUAACACGUGAGCAACCUGCCCUUAGCUCUGGGAUAGCUCCGGGAAACCGGAAUUAAUACCGGAUAUGACCUAGGCCGACAUCGGCCGUGGUGGAAAGUUUUUCGGCUAGGGAUGGACUCGCGGCCUAUCAGCUAGUUGGUGGGGUAAUGGCCUACCAAGGCGACGACGGGUAGCCGGCCUGAGAGGGCGACCGGCCACACUGGGACUGAGACACGGCCCAGACUCCUACGGGAGGCAGCAGUGGGGAAUCUUGCGCAAUGGGCGAAAGCCUGACGCAGCGACGCCGCGUGGGGGAUGAAGGCCUUCGGGUUGUAAACCCCUUUCAGCAGGGACGAUAGUGACGGUACCUGCAGAAGAAGCACCGGCCAACUACGUGCCAGCAGCCGC